CCCUUCGGGGUACACGAGCGGCGAACGGGUGAGUAACACGUGGGUGAUCUGCCUUGCACUCUGGGAUAAGCCUGGGAAACUGGGUCUAAUACCGGAUAUGAGCCUGAACUGCAUGGUUCGGGUUGGAAAGAUUUAUCGGUGCGAGAUGGGCCCGCGGCCUAUCAGCUUGUUGGUGAGGUAACGGCUCACCAAGGCGACGACGGGUAGCCGGCCUGAGAGGGCGACCGGCCACACUGGGACUGAGACACGGCCCAGACUCCUACGGGAGGCAGCAGUGGGGAAUAUUGCACAAUGGGCGAAAGCCUGAUGCAGCGACGCCGCGUGAGGGAUGACGGCCUUCGGGUUGUAAACCUCUUUCGACAGGGACGAAGCGCAAGUGACGGUACCUGUAGAAGAAGCACCGGCUAACUACGUGCCAGCAGCCGCGGUAAUACGUAGGGUGCGAGCGUUGUCCGGAAUUACUGGGCGUAAAGAGCUUGUAGGCGGUCUGUCACGUCGGUCGUGAAAACUCACAGCUCAACUGUGGGCCUGCGGUCGAUACGGGCAGACUAGAGUACUUCAGGGGAGACUGGAAUUCCUGGUGUAGCGGUGAAAUGCGCAGAUAUCAGGAGGAACACCGGUGGCGAAGGCGGGUCUCUGGGAAGUAACUGACGCUGAGAAGCGAAAGCGUGGGUAGCGAACAGGAUUAGAUACCCUGGUAGUCCACGCCGUAAACGGUGGGUACUAGGUGUGGGUUUCCUUCCACGGGAUCCGUGCCGUAGCUAACGCAUUAAGUACCCCGCCUGGGGAGUACGGCCGCAAGGCUAAAACUCAAAGGAAUUGACGGGGGCCCGCACAAGCGGCGGAGCAUGUGGAUUAAUUCGAUGCAACGCGAAGAACCUUACCUGGGUUUGACAUACACCGGAAAGCCGUAGAGAUACGGCCCCCCCUUG
This 932-nucleotide ribosomal RNA is filed under the name uncultured Nocardia sp. Its description in RNAcentral is "bacterial SSU rRNA". It matches the Rfam family "Bacterial small subunit ribosomal RNA", at positions 76 to 1021 of the family's 1533-position model. The record is from RNAcentral. Lineage: Bacteria; Bacillati; Actinomycetota; Actinomycetes; Mycobacteriales; Nocardiaceae.